This 26-nucleotide non-coding RNA is filed under the name Trypanosoma vivax. The record is from RNAcentral. Lineage: Eukaryota; Euglenozoa; Kinetoplastea; Trypanosomatida; Trypanosomatidae.
UGUAUAAUAACAUAAAACAGACGAAA